RNAcentral lists this ribosomal RNA (194 nucleotides) under uncultured eukaryote. RNAcentral's name for it is "partial 18S ribosomal RNA". It matches the Rfam family "Eukaryotic small subunit ribosomal RNA", at positions 1 to 193 of the family's 1831-position model. The record is from RNAcentral.
CCAACCUGGUUGAUCCUGCCAGUAGUCAUAUGCUUGUCUCAAAGAUUAAGCCAUGCAUGUCUAAGUAUAAGCGGCUAUACUGUGAAACUGCGAAUGGCUCAUUAAAUCAGUUAUGGUUUAUUUGAUGGUACCUUACUACUUGGAUACCCGUAGUAAUUCUAGAGCUAAUACAUGCAGGAGUUCCCGACUUCGGA